AGAACAGAACUGGCCUCCCCCAUCCUAGGCCUCCCUGUCCAGCCCCGCCGGGCAGCAAAGUCCAGGGCUAGCACUGCACCCGGAGGACUGGGGGCCUGGGUAUCCCCUCCAUUCCGCCCUCCCCCAGCCCUGCUGCCGGAUGUGGUGAGGCCCAGGUGUGCGUGGGGUGUCUGAGCCACAAGAAUUGUUGGCAGUGAACUCCCAAACUCAAGCAGAGAAGUUGAGGUGGGUGGAGACAGCGUCACUGCGCUGGAGCUGCCCUCGCCCUGCCCCCAGCUGCGUGGGAUUUCAGAACCCACCCUCCAAGCCCCCAGUCUCCUGAGGCCCUCCUCCGUGCCCUCUGAAAGACCCUUCCGGCUCCCCCACAGACCCCUGUGUCCAGACCGUCUUGAAGAGUGACAGCUGGGACCUGUGGAGAGCCCGCAGCCCUUCUGGACUUGUCUGCCCUGAGUUCCUCACAGCAGUGUGCUGUAUGCCUGGUUGUGUGCAGGGCAGCAUCGUACCUGUGCAGUUCCACUAUGUGUGAGAAGGAGCUGGAGCUUGUGUGUGCUGGGGUCAGAGCCGAUGCAGAGGAGAAAAGCCCCAAGGACUCCAAAGGUCCCUGGGGCCACGUCACCCUCUCAGUGUCUCCAUCUGUAAGGGGAGCACAUCAUGGUGCAGCGGCUCUUCCACACUGGCUCCAACGCUCUAAGGCUACUCCACUGUCUGGGCAACUUGGCUGAGGCCCCGCUGUCCCUGGCAGGCCAGUCUGGAGGCUGAGGCAGCAAAGCCCACAACAGAGCCAGGGAGUCUGGGCCACAGAUCCCAAAGGCUGAUAUGAGCCCUUAUCUUUGGCAUCGGCCUCCAAAUGACUUAAUGCUUAUUCCAGGGGCAAAUUACAGAGCGUGCAGAAGGACAAUCAGGUCCAGUCUUGCUGCUGGGCCAGGAGCCAAAGCCUUCCAGCUCUGUGGGAGGACCCCAGCCAGGUGGGAUCCCUGAUUCAGGAGUGAAUUCAGCUCAGCCGUGUAAGGGGCUCCAGACCCAACUCCCAUGCUGGGCUGGGCCUCUUCCCCUCCUUCUGGAGAAUCUGGUAUACCUUGCCGGGGAGUUCUGCAUGUGGGGAGAGCAUUGCUGAAGGUUUGCUCUCAUAGCACAGUCCCUGGGGCCUGGCACUCUUGGCCAUGACCAGUGGUCUCUUUUUCUUUUUCUUUUUAAGUGACAGGAUCUUGUUAUGUUGCCCACACUGGCCUCAAACUCCUGAGCUCAAGUGAUCCUCCUGCCUCAGCCAACAGAGUAGCUGGGACUAUAGGCACGUGCCACCACCCAGCUCAGGACUGGUGAUGACUGCCUAAAGUGGCUGCACAUAUGUCACCCCCUUGAGGCCAUUUGUCUUGGGGCUGUCCCCUUUUCAGCUCUGGAACGUGGACUUACGGAGGCCCAGCUUAGCCAUGAAGGAGGGCCUUCCCUUUGCCUUCUUUCCCUACUCCCAAACUGGGGAAAGCCCCACCCCCGAUUACUGGGUGAAAGCCCAGGGCUGGGGUAAGAAGAGGGGGAGAGACUUACCAGCCCAUGUCCCUCUCCUGCUUUUGCUCUGACAAAAGCCCCCCAAGCCUUGGAUGCUGCCUGUGGUGAUAAUGGUGCAGGACGCCUGCUCCUCUCCGCCACCCACUCAGAGUCUCCCCAACCACCGUUCGCCAGAGCCCAGCCUUGGGAGCCACAGCAGAGAGGAGGCAGGGCAUUGGGUGUAGGGGUGAGGACACAAUGAGGAGGGGUCUCUGCUAGACUGGAUGCCCCACAGCCUGAAGGCUCUGGAAGCAGGACCCAGUCCUCGCCACUGGCUGGGAAGGGGCUGACCCAGGUUGGGGGUCCCUGCUCAGAGCUCUCUCUGUUUUUGUUUGUUUUUCUUGGCCUGGCUCUUACAGAGCAGACAAUAUCAAGUAAGUUUGGGCUCAGCACUGUUUUUAAAAUUGAAAACCUGUGAGACUCACCGGGAACAAAUGAUGAUUCUGCAUGUUAUUCUUUUUAUAACCAUCUAUUUUGACGGCUGUUUAAGCGUCACUGGCUCCUGCCUUUGGGAUUCCAGGUCUUUCCUGGCCCUGGCAGCACAUCCAUCAGCCCCCUGCACAGCAGGUCUCCCUCCCACAGCUGCCUCGC
This 2133-nucleotide long non-coding RNA is filed under the name Homo sapiens (human). RNAcentral's name for it is "HSALNT0304300". The record is from RNAcentral. Lineage: Eukaryota; Metazoa; Chordata; Mammalia; Primates; Hominidae.